UUCGACCUGAACUCAAACAUGAGU
This 24-nucleotide ribosomal RNA is filed under the name Hirschmanniella sp. 2 SAS-2008. RNAcentral's name for it is "partial 28S ribosomal RNA". The record is from RNAcentral. Lineage: Eukaryota; Metazoa; Nematoda; Chromadorea; Rhabditida; Pratylenchidae.